This 216-nucleotide ribosomal RNA is filed under the name Glomeromycotina sp. Its description in RNAcentral is "partial small subunit ribosomal RNA". The stretch from base 40 to 216 matches the Rfam family "Eukaryotic small subunit ribosomal RNA", at positions 686 to 864 of the family's 1831-position model. Lineage: Eukaryota; Fungi; Glomeromycota. The record is from RNAcentral.
GGGUCCGUAGGUUGGUCGUGCCACCGGUACGUACUGGUCUCACUGAUUCCUCCUUCCUGAAGAACCGUAAUGCCAUUAAUUUGGUGUUGCGGGGAAACAGGACUGUUACUUUGAAAAAAUUAGAGUGUUUAAAGCAAGCUAACGCUUGAAUACAUUAGCAUGGAAUAAUGAAUUAGGACGAUCGAUCCUAUUUUGUUGGUUUCUAGGAUUGACGUA